UGGGGAAUUUUGGACAAUGGGCGAAAGCCUGAUCCAGCAAUGCCGCGUGUGUGAAGAAGGCCUUCGGGUUGUAAAGCACUUUUGUCCGGAAAGAAAUCCUUGGCUCUAAUACAGUCGGGGGAUGACGGUACCGGAAGAAUAAGCACCGGCUAACUACGUGCCAGCAGCCGCGGUAAUACGUAGGGUGCAAGCGUUAAUCGGAAUUACUGGGCGUAAAGCGUGCGCAGGCGGUUUGCUAAGACCGAUGUGAAAUCCCCGGGCUCAACCUGGGAACUGCAUUGGUGACUGGCAGGCUAGAGUAUGGCAGAGGGGGGUAGAAUUCCACGUGUAGCAGUGAAAUGCGUAGAGAUGUGGAGGAAUACCGAUGGCGAAGGCAGCCCCCUGGGCCAAUACUGACGCUCAUGCACGAAAGCGUGGGGAGCAAAACAGGAUUAGAUACCCUGGUAGUCCACGCCCUAAACGAUGUCAACUAGUUGUUGGGGAUUCAUUUCCUUAGUAACGUAGCUAACGCGUGAAGUUGACCGCCUGGGGAGUACGGUCGCAAGAUUAAAACUCAAAUGAAUUGNCGGGGUC
RNAcentral lists this ribosomal RNA (573 nucleotides) under uncultured bacterium. Its description in RNAcentral is "partial 16S ribosomal RNA". It matches the Rfam family "Bacterial small subunit ribosomal RNA", at positions 355 to 920 of the family's 1533-position model. The record is from RNAcentral.